UCCCAGACUCCUACGGGAGGCAGCAGUGGGGAAUAUUGCACAAUGGGGGAAACCCUGAUGCAGCGACGCCGCGUGAGUGAAGAAGUAAUUCGUUAUGUAAAGCUCUAUCAGCAGGGAAGAAAAUGACGGUACCUGAGUAAGAAGCCCCGGCUAACUACGUGCCAGCAGCCGCGGUAAUACGUAGGGGGCAAGCGUUAUCCGGAUUUACUGGGUGUAAAGGGAGCGUAGACGGCAAGGCAAGUCUGGAGUGAAAGCCCGUGGCCCAACCACGGGACUGCUUUGGAAACUGUGUUGCUGGAGUGCAGGAGGGGUAAGCGGAAUUCCUAGUGUAGCGGUGAAAUGCGUAGAUAUUAGGAGGAACACCGGUGGCGAAGGCGGCUUACUGGACUGUAACUGACGUUGAGGCUCGAAGGCGUGGGGAGCAAACAGGAUUAGAUACCCUCGUA
RNAcentral lists this ribosomal RNA (446 nucleotides) under uncultured bacterium. Its description in RNAcentral is "bacterial SSU rRNA". It matches the Rfam family "Bacterial small subunit ribosomal RNA", at positions 329 to 792 of the family's 1533-position model. The record is from RNAcentral.